CUCACUGUUGACAGGCCUUUCUUAAGCACAGACCCAGUGAAGCCAUUUUCUCUGCCAGAAGGCUCCAGUGGGUCUUGGACCACGGGACAAAGAAUGACAAAUGCUCAGCAUGUGGGUGGCUGCUCCCACUCCUGGCUUGCAGGGCACACUUGUUCAAUAAAGCUGCUUUCAGCAGGGGAAACUUUCCAGCGUGGCUCUCCAGGUAGCCAAUACUUAGGCUGCUUUUCAUUUCUAAGAAAAGAAAUCAAUUCUAAAGAUAGACAACGAUGAGCAACUACUUAUCUGUGCGAUGGAGAUCAUGGCAGAGGCCAGAAGUGAGUAGAGUCGAAAAGAACUGGUGAACAAAACCUGAACUGGCUUCCAGUGGCUCCCUGCAGAGGCGCCCUGCACAAAUGCCAAAAAGCAGAGUGGAGUC
This is a long non-coding RNA of Prionailurus viverrinus (fishing cat), 415 nucleotides long. RefSeq lists it as uncharacterized. The transcript has 3 exons. The record is from RefSeq and is a predicted model, not a curated record. Lineage: Eukaryota; Metazoa; Chordata; Mammalia; Carnivora; Felidae.